Schistosoma mattheei is the source of this 45-nucleotide non-coding RNA. Lineage: Eukaryota; Metazoa; Platyhelminthes; Trematoda; Strigeidida; Schistosomatidae. The record is from Rfam.
AUCCGGCUGAUGAGUCCCAAAUAGGACGAAACUAACGUCUUGGAU